GAACAUCCCCUUUGCACGUUGGAAAAUUGGUGCCUGUAGCUCCAGCCCGGAGUCGGUGCUUACACAGGGAGCCACAGAUUGGCCACCCCUGCUGUAUGCAGUUGCUGUUCAACAGUUUUCCCAUGGCACCUGGGCUCACAUAGGCUUUAACACGGGUGUGUAGGCUAGAGAAGAGCUGUGUUGGCUCAUUUUAAGACAUUCUCUUCCUCUGCAAAAAGAAAAGGAGUACUUGUGGCACCUUAGAGACUAACAAAUUU
Dermochelys coriacea (leatherback sea turtle) is the source of this 257-nucleotide long non-coding RNA. RefSeq lists it as uncharacterized. Lineage: Eukaryota; Metazoa; Chordata; Testudines; Dermochelyidae. The transcript has 3 exons. The record is from RefSeq and is a predicted model, not a curated record.